CCUACGGGUGGCUGCAGUGGGGAAUAUUGGGCAAUGGGCGAAAGCCUGACCCAGCAACGCCGCGUGAAGGAAGAAGGCUUUCGGGUUGUAAACUUCUUUUGACAGGGAAGAGCAGAAGACGGUACCUGUCGAAUAAGCCACGGCUAACUACGUGCCAGCAGCCGCGGUAAUACGUAGGUGGCAAGCGUUGUCCGGAUUUACUGGGUGUAAAGGGCGUGUAGCCGGGCUGACAAGUCAGAUGUGAAAUCCGGGGGCUCAACCCCCGGACUGCUCUGGAAACUAUGUGACUGGAGUGCAGGAGAGGUGAGCGGAAUUCCUAGUGUAGCGGUGAAAUGCGUAGAUAUUAGGAGGAACACCAGUGGCGAAGGCGGCUCACUGGACUGUAACUGACGUUGAGGCUCGAAAGCGUGGGGAGCAAACAGGAUUAGAUACCCGGGUAGUC
This 442-nucleotide ribosomal RNA is filed under the name uncultured bacterium. RNAcentral describes it as "partial 16S ribosomal RNA". It matches the Rfam family "Bacterial small subunit ribosomal RNA", at positions 338 to 795 of the family's 1533-position model. The record is from RNAcentral.